UGAGCAACCUGCCCUUGACUCUGGAAUAACAGCUGGAAACAGCUGCUAAUACCGGAUAUGACCUCCGAUGGCAUCAUCUGGAGGUGGAAAGCUCCGACGGUCAAGGAUGGGCUCGCGGCCUAUCAGCUAGUUGGUGUGGGUAAUGGCCCACCAAGGCGACGACGGGUAGCCGGCCUGAGAGGGUGACCGGCCACACGUGGGACUGACGACACCGGCCCAGACUCCUAGG
This 229-nucleotide ribosomal RNA is filed under the name uncultured bacterium. Its description in RNAcentral is "partial 16S ribosomal RNA". It matches the Rfam family "Bacterial small subunit ribosomal RNA", at positions 118 to 343 of the family's 1533-position model. The record is from RNAcentral.